This is a long non-coding RNA of Oxyura jamaicensis (ruddy duck), 1055 nucleotides long. RefSeq lists it as uncharacterized. Lineage: Eukaryota; Metazoa; Chordata; Aves; Anseriformes; Anatidae. The record is from RefSeq and is a predicted model, not a curated record. The transcript has 3 exons.
AAAGGAUCUCCAGAGAUCAUCAAGUGUAACCUGAAUCGAUUAAAGUAUCAAUAUCUUUCAGUAAGUUCAUAGCUUCUGAGCUGUUUUUAUUAUUUUGUGGGUUUCCCCUACUUCCCUUAUCAAAUAGCAGUCAGAACAUUCAAGCAUGCUCUUGGGAGGACAUCUGGCUUUGAACUGAUGUGCUCACCUUCAGCUGAAAGAAAGGAAAAAUGCAUGGUAUACUGAAGCAGAGGGCCCCCUACUGAGGCUGUUGCUGUUUCUCUGAGUUUUACUGUACUAUUCUGAACCAUUGCAAAACCCAGUGGAAACACGAAGACCACGAAGACACGAAGAACAGAGCCAGUGAGAAGGCAAUAAUGUCUUGCUGGAGUUUGAGCAGAAUUUCCCUGCACUAAGAAGACUGCAGAGAUGGUGGUGCCUGUGGAGUCAGCUCACCGAGAGAUAUUGGUAAUGUCACUCUCUGGGGAACUCUGCUGGCUUAGCAGAUCCUCGAACAAGCAGCUGGGGCAAAGCAGUGAGCAACUGGAGUCACUUUCAAUGUCCUGGAGACCUGUACACGAUCACACUCAGGAGCUCUUCCCUGUUUCACUGCCCUGCAAUUCAUUUCAGGCAUCUGCCCCUGUCACGUAAGGUGAGCAGCUCACCUGAAGGAUGCACAGCUGGGCAAGGACCGACCGCAGGUGCCUGCAUCUGUUAGGAAACCAGCAUGCCUGCUCACCCAUCGCGCCAGAGAAAGAAAUGAACCUGGACAGUGCUAAUGAAUGACAUGAUGCUCUGUGAUUGAACUGCUCUCCUGUCAUAGAGGUUGGUGGGACUGAUCCAUAAACAGGAGGUGACGUGAGGAAAUGGGAGUCCUUAUUCAAGAGCAGACAGAGCCAAAGUCAUUCCCACUGCACACACCCCAAAUGUUUAUCAUAUUGUCUCCUUCUGCAAAGUGGAGAAACAAAAGCACUUGAUGAAUGGAUCCAAACGCUCUGUUUCAUAUGUGUUAUGUAGCAAAAUUUUCACCGCAGGGCUCUUAUGCUGUAAAGUUGCACGCUUUGCUGUUUCUGCUG